AAUAUUGCGCAAUGGAGGGAACACUGACGCACCGACGCCGCGUGAGCGAUGAAGGUCUUCGGAUCGUAUAGCUCUCUCCUUGGGGAAGUAGGUCUUCGGACUUGACGGUCCCUACCGAUGAAGCCCCGGCCACCUCCUUGCCAGCAGCCGCGGUAAUACGUAGGGGGCAAGCGUUGUCCGGAAUUAUUGGGCGUAAAGGGGGCGUAGGCGGCCUUUUAAGUCAGAUGUGAAAGCACACGGCUUAACCGUGGGACUGCAUUUGAAACUGGAGGGCUUGAGUAUCGGAGAGGGUAGUGGAAUUCCCAGUGUAGCGGUGGAAUGCGUAGAUAUUGGGAGGAACACCAGUGGCGAAGGCGACUACCUGGACGAAAACUGACGCUGAGGCACGAAAGCUAGGGGAGCAAACA
This 407-nucleotide ribosomal RNA is filed under the name uncultured bacterium. RNAcentral's name for it is "partial 16S ribosomal RNA". It matches the Rfam family "Bacterial small subunit ribosomal RNA", at positions 360 to 774 of the family's 1533-position model. The record is from RNAcentral.